Molecule: long non-coding RNA, 1609 nt
Filed under: Manihot esculenta (cassava)
Lineage: Eukaryota; Viridiplantae; Streptophyta; Magnoliopsida; Malpighiales; Euphorbiaceae
Description: long non-coding RNA (MESC_LNC012398)
Source: RNAcentral
AGACUAGUUCAAGGAGGGAAGAUGGAGAAAGAAAAGGAGAAAGAAGAGGCUAAAGUUCCAAUGUCAACUUCCAUAGAGAUUCAAAUUGAAGAGGAAGUUGUAAUGCAAUCAUCUAAUGUAGUUGUUCUUGAAAAUUCCAUUAAUGAGCUUAUAGAAGAGGUUGUGAAUGAUGGUGGACAUGGGGCGCACAUGAUUGAUGAGGUGGAGGAGGUGAAUAAGACUGUUUUGGAAGUUGUAGAGGAGAAUGGGUCACAUCCACAUGAUCUUUCUAUGACUAAUAUUUUUAUGUCUAGUUCAUUUGUUCUUGAUGUGCAGGUUGUUGAUGAAAACAUCCAUGAUGAAAGUUUUAUACUAUUUCCACCUAUUCAAAAGGAGGUCUUUGAAGAUACAUGGGUGCCUAAAGCUUUCCUUCUUAACAUAAAUAUCAGCAAGAUUCGAGGACGAAUCUUUUCUAAAGAAAGAGGGAAUGAUACGAAUCCAAUAGGACAAAUUUCUAACAAUGGUGUGGAGCAAACUUAUAUCAUUCCAAUGGAUCCAAGAGUAGUUCAAAAUCAUAUUCAUAUAAUCCAUAUAUAUUUGGGGCGUGCUUUAAUUCAUAUGGGACAGAUUUGGUGCAACACUUGCAAUCAUAGGCUGAGGGAGCCUAAUCAACCCUAUGGGCUAAAACUACAUAAAGGAAAGCCUAAAGUGAAGAUCAAGUAAGGCUUUUGUGAAGAUUCAACUUUGUUAUGAUGGGCUUGCUAGUUUUAUUAUUUAACACUUGUUUUAUUUUAGCUUUGUUUGGCCUUGUAUUCUGGCCAUAUAUUUAUCUUUUAAGUUUUAGAGUGUUGGGCCAUAUUUUGGGCUUAUGUUUUAAUACUUAUGUGUUAUUUUAGUGUGUGAUUAGGUUUGGGCCUUAGGUGUUUAAGUCAGACCCAAGAAGAGUGUCUUAGGGUUUUAUUUGUUUUUCUCCUUACUAUAUAAGGAUAAGAAACAAUUGUAAGAGGCAGCUUUUAAUCAAACUUUUCAGAAUUUCUUUCAUGCCUUUGGCGUGUAUUGCUUUGAGUGAGAGUGAGGAUUUGCUUUCAUCAAUUGCACCAGGAAUCUUGGCUAACUUAUCAACUAUUCGUUGUGGCGUUUGUCAGAUUCUCAUCUAAAUCCUUCGAUCAUUGGUGUUUCAGCUUCUCUAAGUUUGGGGUGCCAUAGGAGGUGGGUUUAUAAGAUCUUUGGAUUACGUAUCUACUUGUGCGUGUGAGUUUGAGGCUUGUGCCAUAGGGUUCCGCGUCAUCAAGCCCAAGAAAAGUGUCUUAGGGUUUUAUUUGUUUUUCUCCUUACUAUAUAAGGAUAAGAAACAAUUGUUAGAGGGAGCUUUUAAUCAAAAUUUCAGAAUUCUUUUCAUGCCUUUGGCGUGUAUUGCUUUGAGUGAGAGUGAGGAUUUGCUUUCAUCAAUUGCACCAGGGAUCUUGGCUAACUUAUCAACUAUUCGUUGUGGCGUUUGUCAGAUUCUCAUCUAAAUCCUUCGAUCAUUGGUGUUUCAGCUUCUCUAAGUUUGGGGUGCCAUAGGAGGUGGGUUUAUUUGUUCUUGAUGUGCAGGUUGUUGAUGAAAACAUUUAUGACGAAAGUUUUAUCC